GGUUUCUUCCCCCUCUUCGCACCCUUAACCCUUCUCCACUGGCUGCGGCUCUGGGACUUACACACGUUCGAUUCUGUCCUUAGGCAGCUCAGACGCGAGGCCCCCAGCAAGCAGGAAAACUCCAUUUCCCAGAGGUCUCUGCAGCCUCCAGGGUCAGCCCACAGUGAGGCUCCACCGCGGUCACUAUGGAAACGAAGACAAGCGGGCUCCGAAGACAAGAGCCUUCAGGGGAUUGGUGGAGAGAGAGAGGCGCGGCCGGAACAGGCGGGACUAAGACGGCCUGUUGAUACGUCACGUCCGCAUCCUCGCGGGGCUCUACCUGUCGUACGGGGCGCGCGUUCGGAACCGUCUCGACUCCGCUCCGAGUUCGGCCUCCUCCCCCUCCGCCGCCGCCGCUGCCAGGGCCCGAGCUCCGCUCCCCUUGGAAGGCAGCUCUGCCUUCUGACAACCUGAUCCUUAAUGAAAAGGAAAGCAUGGCCCCUGUGCUCCUGACUGCCAGGCACCCCCAGGUGAGUGGCAGUGUGCCCUUCCAGAAAUGCCAAAUCACUGCUUCAUACAUUGUCUCCCUAUUUCCAUUUUCUUUAAGAUGAUUUUUAUUGUUUCUGUGAUUUUUGUCUUUGGCCCUCUCUAUUUGGAGUGUAUCUUUUAUCCAUAUUUCUUUCAUUAGUUACAAUUUUUGUUGUGUUUUGGUCUCUAAAAGUUCACGUUUAAGAUUUGUUUGAGUUGUUUCCUAACAAGUGAACAGUUUGUGUAUGAGUACCGUGACAGCCGGAGAAGUUGGUGUGCUGGCAAAAAGUCCCUUGCGGAAGUCCCCUUGAGUCUAUUAAAUCUUUUUUUCCCCAAUAUUUUAUUUAAACGCACAAUCACCUCCUUUAACUCUCUUGUGCAUUUGUCAAGUCUGACAGAGAGCUUCAGAUUACCUACAGUUAGUGUCUUCUUAUCUUUCUUUCACCUCCGUUAUAUUUUCCUUAAAGACCUUAGCUGACAUAGUAAGUCAGUGCAUUACAGCGAUUCUCUAAAGCCAGCCUGACCAUGGAUGGCACUUCCCCAGUCAGUAGACUCAAGGAGCUCCCUCUUCAGAAAGCUUUUCCCAUUUGGGCCCCUUCCUACCUUUCCUGUCUUCUUCCCCUUUGGCCCUGCCCACCAGCCUGUGGUCCCACCGGCCUGUGUCCUGUCAUAUUGGCCUGCUGGAGUUCUUCCUCACACACAGUGACCCACCCCCAAUCUCUUUGACUUUUCACUCGCUGGUCUUCAUCCUCAGAAUAUUCUCCCGUGUUCCUCAAACUGUUGGAAUUCCUGGCUUCCUUCCAAAAUUAGCUGAAGCGCCACCUGUUACCAGAGGCCUCAGCUGGCUCUUCCUCCCUGCCCCCUCCUGAUCCACGGUUGUCCUUGAUCUGGUUCGUAUGCACCUUGUGUGUACAUUUAUGUCUGUGUGCUGCCUUCUCCGUUGGAG
RNAcentral lists this long non-coding RNA (1453 nucleotides) under Vombatus ursinus (common wombat). RNAcentral's name for it is "lncRNA (ENSVURG00010014769.1)". Lineage: Eukaryota; Metazoa; Chordata; Mammalia; Diprotodontia; Vombatidae. The record is from RNAcentral.